UCAAGCGGGACAGAUGGGAGCUUGCUCCCUGAUGUUAGCGGCGGACGGGUGAGUAACACGUGGGUAACCUGCCUGUAAGACUGGGAUAACUCCGGGAAACCGGGGCUAAUACCGGAUGGUUGUCUGAACCGCAUGGUUCAGACAUAAAAGGUGGCUUCGGCUACCACUUACAGAUGGACCCGCGGCGCAUUAGCUAGUUGGUGAGGUAACGGCUCACCAAGGCGACGAUGCGUAGCCGACCUGAGAGGGUGAUCGGCCACACUGGGACUGAGACACGGCCCAGACUCCUACGGGAGGCAGCAGUAGGGAAUCUUCCGCAAUGGACGAAAGUCUGACGGAGCAACGCCGCGUGAGUGAUGAAGGUUUUCGGAUCGUAAAGCUCUGUUGUUAGGGAAGAACAAGUGCCGUUCAAAUAGGGCGGCACCUUGACGGUACCUAACCAGAAAGCCACGGCUAACUACGUGCCAGCAGCCGCGGUAAUACGUAGGUGGCAAGCGUUGUCCGGAAUUAUUGGGCGUAAAGGGCUCGCAGGCGGUUUCUUAAGUCUGAUGUGAAAGCCCCCGGCUCAACCGGGGAGGGUCAUUGGAAACUGGGGAACUUGAGUGCAGAAGAGGAGAGUGGAAUUCCACGUGUAGCGGUGAAAUGCGUAGAGAUGUGGAGGAACACCAGUGGCGAAGGCGACUCUCUGGUCUGUAACUGACGCUGAGGAGCGAAAGCGUGGGGAGCGAACAGGAUUAGAUACCCUGGUAGUCCACGCCGUAAACGAUGAGUGCUAAGUGUUAGGGGGGUUUCCGCCCCUUAGUGCUGCAGCUAACGCAUUAAGCACUCCGCCUGGGGAGUACGGUCGCAAGACUGAAACUCAAAGGAAUUGACGGGGGCCCGCACAAGCGGUGGAGCAUGUGGUUUAAUUCGAAGCAACGCGAACAACCUUACCAGGUCUUGACUUCCUCUGACAAUCCUAAAAAUAGGGACUUCCCUUUCGGGGGCAGAAGGGCCGG
RNAcentral lists this ribosomal RNA (998 nucleotides) under Bacillus velezensis. RNAcentral's name for it is "bacterial SSU rRNA". It matches the Rfam family "Bacterial small subunit ribosomal RNA", at positions 62 to 1038 of the family's 1533-position model. The record is from RNAcentral. Lineage: Bacteria; Bacillati; Bacillota; Bacilli; Caryophanales; Bacillaceae.